UUUCCACCAUCCUAUUUCUUCUUACUUCUUUUUUUUUGUUUAGAGAAACCCUUUCAGUAUUUCUUUUAGCAUGCGUUUAGUAUUGCUGUAGUCUUUUAGCUUUUGUUUGUUGAAGAAAUUCUUUAUUUCCCCUUCUAUUUGAAAUAAUAUUCUUGCUGGAUAGAGUAUUCUAGGCUGCAAAUUUUUCCUUUCAGCACUUUAAAUAUAUCUUGCCACUCCCUUCUGGCCUGUAGUGUUUCUGUAGAGAAAUCAGCUGAUAGCCUUAUGGAGGGGCCCUUAUAAUUAACACUUUGUUUUUCUCUUGCUGCCUUUAGAAUCCUCUCUUUAUCUUUAACUUUGCCAUUUUUAUUAUAUUAUGUCUUGGUGUGGGCCUGUUUGGGUUCAACUUGUUUGGAGCUCUCUAUGAUUCCUGUACCUUGAUAUCAGUUUCCUUUAAAUCUGGAAAGUUUUCAGACGUAAUUUCUUCAAAUAUAUUUUCAAUCCCCUUUUCUUUUCCUUCUCCUUCUGGAAUUCCUAUUAUGCAUAGGUUAGCCAGCUUUAUAUUAUCACAUAGAUCUCUUAUAUUGCUUUUGUGUUUUUUUAAUUUGGUUUUCUGUCUGCUGUCCUGAUUGGGUGAUUUCCAUUAUUCUGUCUUCAACAUCACCAAUUCAUUCAUCUGCAUUAUUCAUUUUGUUCUUUAGUGCCUUUAGUUCAGUUUGUGUCUCUGCAAAUGAAUGUCCUAAUUUUUCUAUGUUCCUCCUUAUAUUUUCUAGUUCCUUUCUAAAGGAAUCUGCAUUACCAUUCAUAUCCACUCUUAAUUCCUUGAUAGUCAACCUUAAGUCCUUCAGUAUUUUCACUAUCUCCCUUUUGAACUCAAUGUCUGUCAGACUGCAGAGGUCUGUUUCAUGCUUUGCUGGUUCAGGUGAAUUCCCCUGUUCCUUUAACUGGGAAUGGUUUCUUAACGUCUUCAUCUUGCUUAUAUUUUUCUUUUUCUGCUAGUUUAGGGAAGUCAAACAGUAGUCUUGGAAGGGCAACUUCUAUGCAAGAGCACCCCUUUGUAUUUUGUCAGGGGGUUACUAUUUAUUUUUGGCCUGGGAGUUUGAAUAUUUGCUGUCUCUUUCUUUGGCGUGAGCAGGUGUUAUCCCCAGGGUUCUGAGUGUGUUUCCAGGGAGAAUGAGGCAAUGGGUAGGGCUAGAAGUCAGUGCCUGGUUGCUGGCUCCUUAACAGCAGCAAGGACCUGCAGGAAGGUGGUGCAAGCUACUCCUAGUUGCAGGGCCCUGCAAAGUGGUAAUGAGCCUUAGGCAGAUUUACAAGGUACCCAGAGCAUUUGGUGUUGGCAGAAGCAGGGUGUGUGAGUUUCCAGAGAAUUGAGAGCAACAACAGGUAGUGUUCAAUUGCAAUGCCCUCCUCUGAGAUGACUGGAGCCACAAGCAGUGCCUGUUAAGGCACCCCUAGUUGUAGUGGGCCAUGUCCACCUCUGGAAUCAGUGAUAACUGUGGUGGUUUGCCCCCACCAACUUCAGACCAUGGAAGAAGCACCCCAUCUCACUUAGCCCCCACAGGAGGUGCUGCACCAGCUGCUCAUAGCUGUAGGUUCCUGGGAAGGGACAGUGAUCAAGCAUCUGGGUACUGCCCAGAAUGUUUGGCAGUGGCAGUGGCAAAGCAGGUGUGCUCCCAGGGGUGAAAGAGCAACAACAGGUGGUGUUCAGUCACAGUGCCCUCCUCUGUGGUGCCCUUGAGGUGAUUGGGGCCACAAGUGGUGCCUGUUCACAGAAUUCUAUUAGUGGUGGGUCAUGCCUCCCUCUGGCUUCUGAGACUACUGCUGCAGUCUGUCCCUGCUGCCUGUAGAUCAUGCAAGAGGCACCACGUCGCAUUUAGCCCCCUGCUGCCCUUAGCCCACACAAGAGGAUCCCAGCCACCUAUAGCCUGCACAAAAAGUGCCUGGUCUCCCUCAGCCUGAGCAAGAGGCUUCUUACCACCCAUAGCCUGCACCAGAGGCAUCCUGCCCUCUGAGAGCCCAUGUGCACAUGCAUAGGGAGAUUCCUAUGGUGGUCCACCCCUCCUCCUCUCACCUUCCCCAACAAUGGCACCUUGCUUCUCCUGUGGGCCCAGACAUUCUCCUUGGUUCCCUCUGCCAUGGCGUUCCACUCCUCAGCAUGUGGCACACUGCUCCUUAGCCUCUCAGGCUGUCCCCACACAGCCAACCCCAGUCCUCUCUCCAGAACUGACCUCUGGAGCCUGUCUCAGUUCCCAGCUCCCACCUGAACAUCUCAGGCUGUGGUGUCUGGGCAAGUGGUACAGAUGAUCUGUGUGGCUGUCACUCUGCUUUGCCCUCCUCUGUCCAGCUGCUGUGCUUUUCUCCAAAACUUUGAGGUCCCUCUGUCUUGGCUGAUCUCCCUGUCAGUUAGGUGGCUUCCCAGGAUGUGGGCUCCUUUUCUCUUUCACAGCUCCCUCUCAGGAAUGCUAGUCCUGUCCUGAUUCCUUUUUAAUCUCUCUCUGUCUUUCUUUUGUUCUACCCAGUUAUGUCAAGAGUUUCUUGUCCUUUUUUGGAGGUUUAAGUUCUUCUGCCAGUAUUCAGUAGGUGUUCUGUGUGAGUCAUUUUACAUGUAGUUUUUUUUUUUUUUUGAUGUGUUUGAGGGAGAAGGUGAGUGUGACAUCUUACUCCUCUGCUGUCUUGCUCCUCCUCUCCCUAUCAUACUGUUUUGAUGACUGUAGCAUAGUCUGAAGUUGGGAGCCUAUUCCUCUAGUUCCAUUUUUAUUUUUUAAUAUUUAAAAACUAGUUUUUAUUAUAGUUGAUUUUCAAUGUUCUGUCAAUUUCUGCUGUACAGCAAGGUGACCCAGUCAUACAUCUAUAUACAUUCUUUUUCUCAUAUUAUCUUCUAGCAUGUGCUAUCACAAGUGAUUGGAUAUAGUUCUUUGUGCUAUACAGCUGGAUCUCAUUGCUUAUCCAUUUUAAAUGGAAUAGUUUGCAUCUGCUAACCCCAAACUCCCAGUCCAUCCUAUUUCCUCUCCUGCCCCCUUGGUGACCACAAGUCUGUUUUUCAUGUUUGUGAAUCUGUUUCUGUUCUAUAGAUGGGUUCAUCUGUGCCAUAUUUUAGAUUCCACAUAUAAGUGGUAUCAUAUGGAAUUUGUCUUUUUCCGACUGACUUCACUUAGUAUGAGAAUCUCUAGUUGCAUCCUUGUUGCUGCAAAUGGCAUUAUUUUGUUCUUUUUUAUGGCUGAGUAGUAUUCUAUUGUGUAUAUGAACCUCAUAUUCUUAAUCCACUCAUCUCUUGAUGGACAAUUAGGCUAUUUCCAUAUCUUGGCUAUUAUGAAUAGUGCUGCAUUCAAUGGAAGGGUGCAUGUAUCUUUGAAUUGUAGUUUUGUCAGUUUUGUCUGGAUAUGUGCCCAGGAGUGGUAUUGCUGGAUUCUAUUUUAGGUCUAUAUUCAGUUUUCUGAGGAACCUCCAUACUGUUUUCUAUAGUGGUUUUACCAAUCUACAUUCCCCAAAACAGUGUAGGAGGUUUCCUUUUUUCUCCACACUUUCUCCAGCAUUUUUUAUUUGUGGUUUUAUUAAAGAUAGCCAUCCUGACUGGUGUGAGGUGGUAACUCAUUAUAGUUUUGAUUUGCAUAUCCCUAAUAAUUAGUGAUGUUGAUUUUUUUUUUUUCAUGUACCCGUUGGCCAUCUGUAUGUCUUCUUUGGAGAAAUGUCUAUUUAGGUCUUCUGCCCAUUUUUCAAUUGGGUUGUUUGUUUUUGUUUUUUUCUGUUGAGUUGUAUGAAUAUUUUGGAGAUUAAGCCUUUGUCUGUUGCAUCAUUUGCAACUAUGUUCUCCCAUUCCAUUUUUUUUUUUUCUUUUUCUCAAUCUGUGUCUCCAUUCUUUUUCUGAGAUCUUGGGUCAUCCUUACUAUCAUUACUCUGAAUUCUUUUAUAGGUGGGUUGCUUAUUUCCUUUUCAUUUAGUUGUUUUUGUGGGCUUUUAAAAUUAAUUUUUAAAUUAAAAAAUAUCUGAUUUACAUUGUUUUUCCAAUUUCUGCUACAGCAUAGUGUCACAAUCAUUCAUAUAUAUAUAUAUAUAUGUAUAUGUGUAUAUAUAUAUGUAUAUGUGUAUGUGUAUAUAUAUAUGUAUAUGUAUAUAUAUAUAUACACAUACAUGUACACACACAUUCUUUUUCUCAUCAUAUCUUCCAUCCUGUUCUAUCCCAAGAGAUUGGAUACAAUUCCUUGUGGUGUUCAGUACGACCUCAUUGCUUCUCCAUUCUAAAUGUAAUUGUUUGCAUCUCCCAACCCCAAACUCCCCUCCCAUCCCACUCCCUACACCCUCCCCUUGGCAACCAUAAGUCUGUUCUCUAUGUCUGUGAAUCUAUUUCUAUUUUGUAGAUAGGUUCAUUUGUGCCACAUUUUAGAUUCCACAUAUGUGAUGUUAUAUGGUAUUUGUCUUUCUCUUUCAGACUUAAUUCCCUCAGUAUGAGAACUUAUAGUUGCACCCAUGUUGCUGAAAAUGUCAUUAUUUCAUUUUUUAUGGCUGAGUAGUAUUCCAUUGUAUAUAUAUAUACCACAUCUUCUUAAUCCAUUCAUCUGUUGAUGGAUAUUUAGGUUGUUUCCAUGUCUGGGCUAUUGUGAAUAGUGCUGCAAUGAACUUUGGGGUGCACAUAUAUUUUUGAUUGAUAGUUUUGUCCAUCUAUAUGCCCAGGAGUGGGAUUACUGGAUCAUAAGGUAGUUCUAUAUUUAGUAUUUUUGAGGAAUGUCCAUAUUGUUUUCCAUAGUGGUUGUACCAGUUUACAUUCCAACAAGAGUGAAGGAGGUUUCUCUUUUUUCUACCCUUUCUCCAGCAUUUGUUAUUUGUAGACUUGCUGAUGAUGGCCACUUUGUCUGGUGUGAGGUGGUAAUUCAUUGUAGUUUUGAUUUGCAUUUUUUUUUGGUUUUUAUCUUGUUUCUUUAUCUGAAGCAUAUUUUUCUGUCAUCUCAUUUUUUCUAACUUUCUGGGUUUGUGUUUUCCUUUCUGUAGGCUGCAGGAUUGUAGUUUCUCUUACUCUUCUCCCUAGUUUUGGAAAGAGGAGCCACCAGAUCUGCUUUUUAGCUGUGUUUUUGAUCUGUGGUGUGAGGUAGGCAGGAUUGGAGUGCUCCUAUUAGGAGAGGAGCCCCUGAGUAUUCCUCUGCUAGAGCUGUUCACCUGUGAGUAUGCUCUGUUGUAUCACCUUUCACCUGUUGUGUGGGGUUACGAAGUACACUAUUUCUGGCGCCGCUAUGCUAGUAGUUGGCAAUGGUGCCUCUCAGGUGUUGUUUUCACCAAACCAUCAACACAUAUCCAGUGAUGUUUGUUCCCAGGACUGUGGUUUUUGUGCCCUUGUGCCCUCUGUGGGAGCUAUUGAGACAGCUUAGACUCUGGCCUGGUCCAGUCUCCAUGUGUAUGUUUCCACAGAGCCCACAGAUGUUAAAGCCAGACCUGUCUCAGCAGCAGGAACACUUGUUGCCUGUUGGGAUGUUUUGCAGGUACUGAAUCUACAAUGUUGGCAGCAUAGGUGUAAAUCUGCAAUUCUUGCAGCUGGGAGGAGAGGUUUCAGGUCUUCUUUCUUAAUUGCAGGGCCCCUUAGGCUCAUCUGUGGUUACGACCCCACCUCUGAGUAUGAACUACCCACUGGGGUCUGUUCCCAAGGUAGCAGGAAUACAGGAGCCUAUUCAGAAGGGUGGCAGGUGGGGCAGUGAUCAGGCACAUGACAUUCACUUUGCACUCUUGGUACAAUGGUGGCAGGGUUCAGGGCCCACUCUCAUGUUUCCCGGGCUUCUGCAAUUCUCUGCUCUCCUAGGAUAGUGUGGGUAGAGUUUGGCGCCUGCUCCCAGGUUUCAUGGGCUGUCUGCACUUCAUUGCACUUCUGGGGCACUUGAUCAAAUUCUGGUGUCUAUUGUCAGUCUUCAUGGGGUAUCUGCAACUCCUUGCAUUCCUGGGACAGCUGGAGUGGAGUCAGGCUCCCACUGGCAAAUUUCAUGGGGUGUCUGCAACUCCCUGCACUCUCAGGGCAGCUGGAGCAUAUUCUGGUGCCUGUUAACAAAUUUCACAGGGCAUCUAUGCUUCUUUAUAUUUUGUGUUGAAAUCUAUUUUUCCCUAGUAGAUUUCCCCAUUUAAGAAAUUUAAGUAUUUUUUGACAUUAGUGUGAAUUCCUUGGUGGAGCUGCUUAAAGACAUUUUUAGUGGCAAGAAAAUAAUCACACUGGAGGAAAAGAUAUGUCAAAGAUAUUUAAAGUGAAUCAUUCACUUGUAGAUAAUGGAAAGUUGGUAGCAGUGCUGCCUGCAUAGCAUGCUCACUUUUUUGUACUUCUCCACUUUUUCUUUUAACAUUCCUUAUUCUUCACUUCCCUUGCUAUUUUUCUAAGGUCACUUUCUGGCGGGUAACACCUACAUCUGUCCUCAUUAUGUGGUAUCCAAUACUUAGGCUUAUACUGUGUUUUCUCCCUUUAUCAAAGCUUAUGCGUAUUGUCAGCCAUUUUCUUUUUUAUCAUAUUGGAAUAUAAGCUAAUGUGCUGAUCCCCUCAAAGAUUUUUUUUAGGAUGUAUUAAUUUAUUAAUCCUUCACUCCUAUUUGCAUUUUUGCAAACAGU
Molecule: long non-coding RNA, 6549 nt
Filed under: Sus scrofa (pig)
Lineage: Eukaryota; Metazoa; Chordata; Mammalia; Artiodactyla; Suidae
Description: lncRNA (ENSSSCG00040029694.1)
Source: RNAcentral